CCUACGGGAGGCAGCAGUGAGGAAUAUUGGUCAAUGGGCGCUAGCCUGAACCAGCCAAGUAGCGUGAAGGAUGACUGCCCUAUGGGUUGUAAACUUCUUUUAUAUGGGAAUAAAGUGCAGUAUGUAUACUGCUUUGCAUGUACCUUAUGAAUAAGGAUCGGCUAACUCCGUGCCAGCAGCCGCGGUAAUACGGAGGAUCCGAGCGUUAUCCGGAUUUAUUGGGUUUAAAGGGUGCGUAGGCGGACUGGAAAGUCAGCGGUAAAAUCGAGAGGCUCAACCUCUUUCCGCCGUUGAAACUGUCGGUCUUGAGUGGGCGAGAAGUAUGCGGAAUGCGUGGUGUAGUGGUGAAAUGCAUAGAUAUCACGCAGAACUCCGAUUGCGAAGGCAGCAUACCGGCGCCCGACUGACGCUGAGGCACGAAAGCGUGGGUAUCGAACAGGAUUAGAUACCCUUGUAGUC
RNAcentral lists this ribosomal RNA (459 nucleotides) under uncultured bacterium. Its description in RNAcentral is "partial 16S ribosomal RNA". It matches the Rfam family "Bacterial small subunit ribosomal RNA", at positions 338 to 795 of the family's 1533-position model. The record is from RNAcentral.